GCGAAGCCUGACGGAGCAACGCCGCGUGAGGGAUGGAGGCCUUUGGGCUGUAAACCUCUUUUCUCAAGGAAGAAGACCUGACGGUACUUGAGGAAUAAGCCACGGCUAAUUCCGUGCCAGCAGCCGCGGUAAUACGGGAGUGGCAAGCGUUAUCCGGAAUUAUUGGGCGUAAAGCGUCCGCAGGCGGCCGUUUAAGUCUGUUGUUAAAUCGUGGAGCUCAACUCCAUCACGGCAAUGGAAACUGUUCGGCUUGAGUAUGGUAGGGGCAGAGGGAAUUUCCGGUGUAGCGGUGAAAUGCGUAGAUAUCGGGAAGAACACCAGUGGCGAAAGCGCUCUGCUGGACCAUUACUGACGCUCAUGGACGAAAGCCAGGGGAGCGAAAGGGAUUAGAUACCCCUGUAGUCCUGGCCGUAAACGAUGAACACUAGAUGUUGGGGGAAUCGACCCCCUCGGUGUCGUAGCUAACGCGUUAAGUGUUCCGCCUGGGGAGUACGCACGCAAGUGUGAAACUCAAAGG
Molecule: ribosomal RNA, 517 nt
Filed under: uncultured cyanobacterium
Lineage: Bacteria; Bacillati; Cyanobacteriota
Description: bacterial SSU rRNA
Rfam family: Bacterial small subunit ribosomal RNA
Source: RNAcentral